RNA transcript from Megalobrama amblycephala (Wuchang bream), 1760 nucleotides. It is a transcript of the gene named CREB/ATF bZIP transcription factor, with no coding region annotated. The transcript is spliced from 3 exons. Lineage: Eukaryota; Metazoa; Chordata; Actinopteri; Cypriniformes; Xenocyprididae. The record is from RefSeq and is a predicted model, not a curated record.
UUUUAGUUCCUCUCAGUGUCGUUGUAAGUGCGUUGCUUCCACUGGCUUUACUACGUCUGAGCCUAAAUACCUUUUCUAUCCUGUUGAUUUAUUUUUCUCGGAUUUUUUUUUAUUUUUAUUUUUUAUUAACCAAUCAUCGUUACUAGACAUCAGCAUACAGUCUGAGAGUUUCCUCAAGUCAUAUACUAAAAAACAGCCAUGAUCACCAGAAAAAGAGGAAGAAGCAGCCUUAAUGAUGAUGUCACAUCUACAAGUACCUCCCAUGAGAGUGAUGGUGCUUCGAAAACCAGUAAUUCAAGCGAAACAAACACGCACACUUCUCCAGAAAGUGACACCAAUGACUGGGGCCUGGAUGACCUACUUGGCUCCGAGUUCAACUGGGACCUGGACAACGAUGUGCUGGAUGUUUUUGGCAACCUUGAAUCACAGACCAACGAUGAGAUGAGCCAAAGUGCAGUGCUUGAUGUUCCGGUAUCCCGCAGCAGAGGUGUGGUCCAGAGGUCAAAGCUGCAAGACGUCUCCGGUCGGAUCAUCAACAAGAACGCCAUUGCGGCAAGGAUAAACAGAUUAAAGAAGAAAGAAUACGUCAGUGGCUUGGAGCAGAGAGUUGGCUCUUUGACAACAGAAAACCGUGUUCUCAAGCAGGAAAAUGGGAAUCUCAACAAGAGAGUGGAAGAGUUGGAGAAUGAAACUAGGUACUUGAGAGCCGUGUUGGCCAAUGAGAGCAUGCUGGCUCAGCUGUUGUCUAGAUUGAGCGGUGUGAACGGCAUGAAAUUCUCUACCUCACUUUUCCAGGAAUCCAACGAGAAUGACCACGAUUAUGCCAUGCCGAGGAAGAGGGUGAAGGUGGAAGACAAAGAUACUGCAGGUGGUGUCUGCCUGCAUGUGGACAAAGACCACGUCUCGGUGGAAUUCUGCACCAAGUGUGCUGAGAGUUCAAGCUUGUCGCAUAAAAUGUAGGGUCAAGUAUUUUACCUUUUCAACGUUUCCUGAGACUGAACAUUGCACAAGGUGUAAAUGAGGGGACAUGACAACAGUAGUCAAAUAUAGAGUUAACUGUUUAAAAUGUGUGCAGAGCUUGAAUGGCAUGUCUAUUGAACCUGCUUUCAAUACAAGUUACUGCUAAACUUGUUGACAGUUUUCUUCUAGGUGCUUGGUCUGCCAUGCUGGGCGCCUGGGUCACAGAACAUCCACGACUGCUGAAAUCCAUGGUAAGGAUCAAGAUAUAGAAGACUGCACAGAACUGGUUAACUCCUAAGACGAAGAAAGUGCUUUUUGCCAGUUCACGGCACAAUACGAACUUGGAUUUUGCUGUGGGGAAAGCAGAAGAGUCGGGACCAGCAGCUUGCAUCAUGGCCUGGUAAAUUUAAAAAAAGGUAGUACAUGAAACCGUGUAAGUUACAGCUUUUACUGACUCUCUAUCACACCCCUAAAGAUGUCAGAUGCUGUCAUGCUCAUUUAGCAUCUAAAUGAGCGUUUAAACUCUUCUGUUUGUAGUAAUGUUUGCUUACAAGACAUUCAAUAUCUGUGUAAUAUCCAUGUGUUUCAUCUUGAUUUGUUAAAGCACUUGGACUUUAUUUGACAGUUGUCCAGAUGAAGAGAAAUGGUAUGUUUUCAGACAGGCUUUUCAAAGGGUUAUGAUUUCUGAAUAAGUCAUCUAUAUGUGAGAUGUAAUUGAAAUCCAAAGACUGUGCAGGCACAUGCAGCUGCAGCUGUGCUGAAAUAAAAUGUAAUAAAUUUUUCUUUUGAGUAAUGCAAAA